CCUGUCCACCGUAUGACUAAGGUUUCCUGGGGAAGGCUCGUCCGCCCAGGGUUAGUCGGGACCUAAGCCGAGGCCGAUAGGCGUAGGCGAUGGACAACAGGUUGAUAUUCCUGUACCAGUUGUUUUUGUUUGAGCAAUGGAGGGACGCAGUAGGCUAAGGAAUGCAUGCGAUUGGAAGUGCAUGUCCAAGCAAUGAGUCUUGAGUAGAGUUAAAUGCUUUACUCUCUAAGGACAAGUUGUGACGGGGAGCGAAAUAAUAGUAGCGAAGUUCCUGAUGUCACACUGCCAAGAAAAGCUUCUAGUGAGAAAACAACUGCCCGUACCGUAAACCGACACAGGUAGUCGAGGAGAGUAUCCUAAGGUGAGCGAGCGAACUCUCGUUAAGGAACUCGGCAAAAUGACCCCGUAACUUCGGGAGAAGGGGUGCUGACUUCGGUCAGCCGCAGUGAAUAGGCCCAAGCGACUGUUUAUCAA
RNAcentral lists this ribosomal RNA (474 nucleotides) under Staphylococcus aureus. RNAcentral's name for it is "bacterial LSU rRNA". It matches the Rfam family "Bacterial large subunit ribosomal RNA", at positions 1329 to 1810 of the family's 2925-position model. Lineage: Bacteria; Bacillati; Bacillota; Bacilli; Caryophanales; Staphylococcaceae. The record is from RNAcentral.